Molecule: long non-coding RNA, 619 nt
Organism: Dipodomys ordii (Ord's kangaroo rat)
Lineage: Eukaryota; Metazoa; Chordata; Mammalia; Rodentia; Heteromyidae
Exons: 3
Source: RefSeq, a predicted model, not a curated record
CUCUGAAGGGAAGGUGAGCCGGGCUUGCUGCAGAGCCGUGGGGGUGCAUUUUCUACACCUCUGCUCCCCAUCUCUGUGUCCUUGAGGAGCACAAAGCUCAGCCCAGGGCAGCCCCGCAGACGUUUCCUAGUCUGUGUUCUCACUCCCAGAGAAGGAACUAGAAUCUUCUGAAUUCUACAUGCCGGUGUGUCUUCCCUGCCAGCAUCUCCAAGAGACACUUGAGUAGAGUUCCAGAACAAUCCAGGCGGAGGGAGGAAAGCACCUGACCUAACUUCGGCUAGGAAAAUGGCACCACUGAACAUCUCAAGGGAGUAGAGGCCAGCCAGAAAGGAGAAGGGUGACCAAGCAUACCUGCCAAACAGUCCUACGAGGCCCUGGAGCCACCACGCUCCAUAAAAGGAGUUCUCUGAAACCUGGAGCUGAUCGCCUAACUCCUCUGAGGCCACUUCCUCAUCUGCCGAUGGAGUCAGCCAACGUGCGAUCAUCUACUAGGCAGCCAGCAGCCACAGCACCUGCCCCAAACCACAGGAGUCCCCGCCAGCCCACGCCUGACACCCAGCAGAAGGUUCCGCCACCUCUGCUCCCACAUAUCUGCCACUGUCACCCUGAAAGAGUCUGU